Long non-coding RNA from Sarcophilus harrisii (Tasmanian devil), 650 nucleotides. RefSeq lists it as uncharacterized. Lineage: Eukaryota; Metazoa; Chordata; Mammalia; Dasyuromorphia; Dasyuridae. The record is from RefSeq and is a predicted model, not a curated record. The transcript has 3 exons.
AGAUGGAGAAAGAGAGAGACAGACACAAAUAGAGAGACAGAGAGAGAAAAUAAAUGAUUGAAUUUAGAAAGGGAAGUGAUGAUUCAAAGGGAAAGUUCCUGGGAGGCAGGUCAGGGGAUCAGCAAGGAAAAGGAGGAGAAAAUGGAAGAUUACAUUGAAAGGAUUCAGAGAAAAGAGAAAGCUCACCACAGCUGGUCUCUAUUUUCUAGGUGAGGAAUAUUGGAGGGGACUAUGACUUUCACCUGAAAGGUCAAGAGACUUAAUCACCACAAAACUUGUGAUGGGAAUCCAACCACCUGAGGUGCCAGUGAGGAGUGAAUCAUGCCCCGGAGUGGCAGGGGUGCUGCCCGUCCGGUGGUCUUGCUGAUCUCAUGGGGGAUCCUGCCGGGGACCCAGAAACCUCCUAAUGGAAGCUUACUCCAGCCCUGGACUUCAUACAUUGGAAGCCCCCUCCAUCCCUCGGUCUGACUGCUUUCUCUCACAUCCUCCAUGUUAAGGGGGAUCUCCAGGCCUCCUACAUCUUUACUCCUCUCCUGGUUAUGCUCGUUAUUAUCUUCUUCCAUUAGAAUAUAAGCUCCUUGAGUUCAGGGACUGUGUUUCUUUCUGCUCAUGUUUGUAUUCCUAGUAAGGGUUUAAUAAAUGCUUAUUGA